ACGAACUCGGUCGGUUUUCACAGGCUCACCGACUAGAACCAACCGAUUGUUUUUUCGGGUUCACAAUCAAACCCAGUUGGUUUUCCCACAGGCUCACAAACCACAACCUUACAACGAUUGUUUUUCAGGUUCACAAUCAACCCAGUUGGUUUUCCCAAAGGCUCACCAACCACAACCUAACACCGUUGGUUUUCCCCUUGGCUCACCAACAAACCUUAACCCCUUGAUUCAAUCCCUUGAUUGAAUCAAGUUACAAGAUAUUAAAACAAAGGUUUAAA
This 278-nucleotide long non-coding RNA is filed under the name Phoenix dactylifera (date palm). RNAcentral's name for it is "long non-coding RNA (PDAC_LNC022753)". The record is from RNAcentral. Lineage: Eukaryota; Viridiplantae; Streptophyta; Magnoliopsida; Arecales; Arecaceae.